This 277-nucleotide ribosomal RNA is filed under the name uncultured bacterium. RNAcentral describes it as "partial 16S ribosomal RNA". The record is from RNAcentral.
CUGCUGCCUUCCGUAGGAGUUUGGACCGUGUCUCGGUUCCAAUGUGGGGGACCUUCCUCUCAGAACCCCUACGCAUCGUCGGCUUGGUGGGCCGUUGCCCCACCAACUACCUAAUGCGCCGCAUGCCCAUCCGUGACCGGGGUCGCCCCCUUUGGCCGGCAGGGGAUGUCCCCUCCCGGCAUUAUGUUGUAUUAGGCGGGAUUUCUCCCGGUUAUCCAUCUGUCACGGCCAGGUUGCAUACGUGUUACUCACCCGUGCGCCGGUCGCCGGCGGCAAG